GACCCACGGGGGAUCCUUCCUGCGAUGUGC
This 30-nucleotide non-coding RNA is filed under the name Homo sapiens (human). The record is from RNAcentral. Lineage: Eukaryota; Metazoa; Chordata; Mammalia; Primates; Hominidae.